GUGCAAGUUUCUUUUGCCUUAGGGUGAGCCAACCAGAGCCAACCUGUCAACCAGUCCCAAGAGUGACCAUCAGCGAGUAAACAGAGAUCACAAGCAAAAGCAUGGCACGCAAACUUUUUGUAGUCAUCGUGCUCUUUCUCCUGGUGGGGAGUCUGACUGCGCAGACACCAGAUGAGGAUGGCAUCAUCCUGUCUGAACUGUACAACACCCCAGCAGAGGAUCUGCAAGAUGCUGUGGCGCCCGUGCGUGCCAAGCGUUUCUUUCUUGGCCAUCUCUUUAGGUUGGGAACUCGUAUAGCAGGCAAGAUCUUGCGUCAUUAUCCUCACCAGGACCAUGAAUAGGGAGCACUGCAACAGUAUCCCCCCUCACAUGUGCACCGCCACACCUGUGAGCCGACAGUGAAGCAUCGAGGCAUCUCAACUCCACUCGUUCAGAGUGAGAAUCUGUGAAAUCAUCACAAUGCCGCCGAAACUCUCCUGUUUGUGAAGAAAUAAAGAAAUUCUGCAGCAUUUACCUCUCUGUGCUCAUGUCAUCAUUUUCCUUAAGAACUUACAUUGCCCUUUCUCUCUCAUAUGGAAACAUAUGGAAAGGGUAAUUAUUUUCGCAUGGUGUAAAUAUGUUUUACUUUGUAUUAUCUAAUCAUGUAAUAUAAUCUAUAUUUUCAUAAACAAAUCUUAUCAUAAAAACCCAU
Long non-coding RNA from Clupea harengus (Atlantic herring), 691 nucleotides. NCBI's taxonomy places the organism in Eukaryota, Metazoa, Chordata, Actinopteri, Clupeiformes, Clupeidae. The record is from Ensembl.